AACGCUGGCGGCGUGCCUAAUACAUGCAAGUAGAACGCUGAAGAGAGGAGCUUGCUCUUCUUGGAUGAGUUGCGAACGGGUGAGUAACGCGUAGGUAACCUGCCUGGUAGCGGGGGAUAACUAUUGGAAACGAUAGCUAAUACCGCAUGAUAUUAAUUGUCGCAUGAUAAUUAAUUGAAAGAUGCAAUUGCAUCACUACCAGAUGGACCUGCGUUGUAUUAGCUAGUUGGUGAGGUAACGGCUCACCAAGGCGACGAUACAUAGCCGACCUGACUAGGGUGAUCGGCCACACUGGGACUGAGACACGGCCCAGACCUCCUACGGGAGGCAGCGGUAGGGAAUUUCGGCAAUGGGGGGAACCCUGACCGAGGCAACGCCGCGUGAGUGAAGAAGGUUUUCGGAUCGUAAAGCUCUGUUGUAAGAGAAGAACGGGUGUGAGAGUGGAAAGUUACACUGUGA
RNAcentral lists this ribosomal RNA (459 nucleotides) under Streptococcus sanguinis. RNAcentral's name for it is "bacterial SSU rRNA". It matches the Rfam family "Bacterial small subunit ribosomal RNA", at positions 32 to 472 of the family's 1533-position model. The record is from RNAcentral. Lineage: Bacteria; Bacillati; Bacillota; Bacilli; Lactobacillales; Streptococcaceae.